UCCUUUAAGAUUCUUCAUAGAUGUGUUUCUUUUAUCGAGCCUUUAUUUUAUCAAGAAAGCCGUUUCUAUACCCUUGGGUUCUCGGUAUAUUGCACUGACUGCAAAUGGUAUGAGCCUUUCUUUUAUCAUAGUCUCUGGGUUGGUUGGUUAAAAGAGAGGAGCAUUAUUAGAUGUAUACUUGAAUCUCUAGAUGUAUACUCAUAUUACUCUUCUAUUUUUAUUUUUCUUUCUCAGAGUUACAUGGACUCGGAGAUCCGGGCUAUCAUGGCUCAGUACAUGCCACUUGACAAUCAAGAAGCACAAAACCACAUCCACCACGGUGAAAUCUGAGGCUA
RNAcentral lists this long non-coding RNA (335 nucleotides) under Musa acuminata (dwarf banana). RNAcentral describes it as "long non-coding RNA (MACU_LNC004170)". Lineage: Eukaryota; Viridiplantae; Streptophyta; Magnoliopsida; Zingiberales; Musaceae. The record is from RNAcentral.